UCAGACCCAACAUUACCAUGGACUGAAACAGUAUUUUAGUAAAUAUGUAGCAUACUGAAAACAGAAACUUCAUAAGGACAAAAAGGGAUGGCCGUUUUAGGUCAUAUUGUACAAGUUUAUGAAUCUUCAGUCCAUAAACAGUUCAAAGAAAAAGGCAAGAUGACAUUAAGUACACUUAAUGAUAACAAAUGUGUAACACAUCAACCAAAAAAUUUCUUUUAAAUAAUCCAGCAAUGCUCGCUGGAAUCGCUGUGGUAAGAUACAGCUCAAGAAGAAAAAAUGUUUAUGACUGAAAAGUUUAAAUACAAGAUUUGGUGUUAGCCAGAUCAAGCAGUAGUUUCAAGAAUUCAGAAUGUUCUUUAAACAGAACCUACACCUACUAGGACCUCAGGGUUAACUGGAUAUCUUAAAACGAUAAAAAUUAAUCAACAAAUUUAGUGUUAACAUAUGUUUUAAUAGAAAAUAUCAGAACAUAUUUAUACAGCUAUACAAGCAUCAUUUUCUACUCGCCAGGAUCUUAGAAUUCUUGUAGGUCACGCCCACAGACACCAAUAUUAGUAUAUUUAGACAUGGUAAAGUGUGGACGCAAGGUUUCAGGUACCCUCUACGCCAGUUGAACAGGGGUAAAUCCGCCGGCUCGGACGGCCAAAAUAAUGGUAACGAAGAAGAAAUACAACUGCCACCCGAGCCCGCGCACUGCUGCAUGUCCGGCUGUCCCAAAUGCGUCUGGAUCACGUAUGCAGAAGAGGUCGAGAAGGUCUACAAAGACGGUGGUAAGAAGGCCAAAAAGGUGAUUCUGUCGAGAAUAAAAGACGUCAACUUGAGAGCGUUUUUGGAAUUGGAACUAAAAAAGGUGGAAGAAAAGACUCGCAAUUCGCCAGAUUGACAUCAGAACACUUGGAAUGUCUUAUCAGCUUUAUAACAAUAAACUAUAAAAAGAA
Molecule: long non-coding RNA, 941 nt
Organism: Cimex lectularius (bed bug)
Lineage: Eukaryota; Metazoa; Arthropoda; Insecta; Hemiptera; Cimicidae
Exons: 2
Source: RefSeq, a predicted model, not a curated record